UACAGAGGGUGCAAGCGUUGUUCGGAAUUAUUGGGCGUAAAGCGCGCGUAGGCGGACCUGCAAGUCGGGGGUGAAAGCCCGAGGCUCAACCUCGGAACUGCCUUCGAUACUGCGGGUCUCGAGUCCGGGAGAGGUGAGUGGAAUUCCUAGUGUAGAGGUGAAAUUCGUAGAUAUUAGGAAGAACACCAGUGGCGAAGGCGGCUCACUGGCCCGGUACUGACGCUGAGGCGCGAAAGCAUGGGGAGCGAACAGG
This 253-nucleotide ribosomal RNA is filed under the name uncultured bacterium. RNAcentral's name for it is "partial 16S ribosomal RNA". It matches the Rfam family "Bacterial small subunit ribosomal RNA", at positions 524 to 776 of the family's 1533-position model. The record is from RNAcentral.